UGUGAUAAAAUACCUAGCAGAAUCAAUUU
This 29-nucleotide non-coding RNA is filed under the name Rattus norvegicus (Norway rat). Lineage: Eukaryota; Metazoa; Chordata; Mammalia; Rodentia; Muridae. The record is from RNAcentral.